ACCGCGUGAGGGAGGAAGGCUCUUGGGUUGUAAACCUCUUUUCUCAAGGAAUAAGUUUUGAAGGUACUUGAGGAAUAAGCAUCGGCUAACUCCGUGCCAGCAGCCGCGGUAAUACGGAGGAUGCAAGCGUUAUCCGGAAUGAUUGGGCGUAAAGAGUCCGUAGGUGGUUGUGAAAGUCUGCUGUUAAAGAGCAAGGCUCAACCUUGUAAAGGCAGUGGAAACUACACAGCUAGAGUGCGUUCGGGGCAGAAGGAAUUCCUGGUGUAGCGGUGAAAUGCGUAGAGAUCAGGAAGAACACCGGUGGCGAAAGCGUUCUGCUAGGCCGCAACUGACACUGAGGGACGAAAGCUAGGGGAGCGAAUGGGAUUAGAUACCCCAGUAGUCCUAGCCGUAAACGAUGGAUACUAGGCGUGGCUUGUA
Molecule: ribosomal RNA, 420 nt
Filed under: Nostoc sp. pis.ebadi
Lineage: Bacteria; Bacillati; Cyanobacteriota; Cyanophyceae; Nostocales; Nostocaceae
Description: bacterial SSU rRNA
Rfam family: Bacterial small subunit ribosomal RNA
Source: RNAcentral